UGGUUAACAUAAAUUGGGAUGCAAAGCUUCCUUUUUUUUGGCUACCUUGUUUCAUCUGUCUGGAUCAACCUCAAACUUAUCAAUUCAGUCUUUUAAAUUGAAAUAGAGCCUUCAUAACCAGAUUUAUUUAACAUGCACUGAGACCAUUCCAUAUGGACAGUUUUUGGUGGCUAAACGACUUGCUGACGAUUCGCUUCUUUUGGACACAGUGUGCUGUUAGUUCCUGUCGAUGCAUUUAGGGAUUUAUCGUAGCUACAAUUUGGUUAGUUUCAAAUAUAUUUGAAGCUUUAUAAAAGCUUGCAUUUGUAGUGGAUGCAGACAGAGUAUAUGGCCUCCCUGAAUGGUGAAUAUGCCUCUGCUUGACCUUGCAUGCGUGUGUAAUGAAUCAUUAUUUCAUUGCAAGCAUAUGGCAUUCUGAAAAAAAAUGUGAUUCGCUCUGCCACAGAUUGCAGUGUAUUUUACAUCCUGGGAAUGCAUGGUUUUAUGCUCUGGCUUCGCCCUGUUUGCAUCAUGACGUCUAUAAGCACCUGUUUUACUAGAUGAAGUGAAUCAAUUCUUCAUUUGCAGGACACUGAGCAAGACACGUAAUUGCAACCACAAUCCGUGUCCAAAAUGGUCUGCAUAAACAGAUAUGCCGAGCACUUGCUUAUAUACAUAAUUGUGUUGUCAUCUGCCACCAUGAUAUCAAACCACAGAGCAUUCUCGUUAACCUACAUAACACGAGCUCAAAAUCUGAAUCUGUGAUUUUGGCAGUGCAAAAGUCUUGGUAAGUUAUCUUCUAUAAUAAGGUAGAAAUUUAAAUGCUCGAGUACUGCCGAUUUUGAAAAGAACAUGCUAAACUUUCUUGAUAAGAACAAAAAAAGGGUGCGCACUUAUGCCAGUAACCUACCCAGAUAUGAUGAUUUCUAAAUUGUUUUCAAAGUAAUGUUUUGCAUAUAUCUCCUACAUUUACUCAAGAUAUCUGCCAUUAUUUUGUUGUGGUUUUGUUCACUGCAGACUGAGUAUCUGCUCUGUCAUGGCAGAACUGCUUCCCCCAUAGGUUUUUCAUUCAUGCAUAUAGUCUUUUACUCCCUCCGUCCCAAAUAAGUGUUGCUGAUUUAGUAAAACAUUAGUACAAAGUUGUACUAAAUCAACGGCACUUAUUUUGGGACGGAGGGAGUAUUUUACUAUCUAGCUUGUUCUCAUAGUAUUCAUCCAUCCAUGUAGCCUCUUUUUCCUGGGGGAAAGUGGAGUUGAUCAACCGUUUGUGAUUACCAAGGUCUUGGGGAUACUCCAACAAGGGAAGAGAUCAAGUGCAUAGAAUCCAAACUACACGUUGUUCAAGUCCCCACAAAUUAAGGCUCAUCCAUGGCACAAGGAGACCGAGCCAGAUGUGGUUGCAGAUUCUGGUGCUGAAGAUGGUAACAUAUUUGCAAGCACAAUCCGUGGCCAAAAUGGUCUGCCUAAACAGUCCUGUAGAAAAGAGGGGUGCAGGUGCGAAACAUGCUGCGUCAGGUGUCUAGGAAGCUUAACCAAGUCAAGUGAGAGCUGAAUAUCUCCUACAUUUGCAUAAGAUAUUACAGAGCACCACUGCACCAGAACUGAUAUUAGGUGCAACUGAAUAUACUGCUGACAUGGACUUGUUCUGUUUUUUUUACGGCAGACUGAAUAUCUGCUAUGUCACGGCAGAACUGCUUCUCGGGCAGGUUUUAUUCAUGCAUAUAGUCUUUCAUUUUGCUCUCUAGCUUGUUCUCAAAAUAUUUAUCCAUUCACGCAUCCUCUUUUUUCCUAGGGAAAGUGGAGUUGAUCAGUUGGUUGAGCUUAUCAAGUGCGUCGCAGGUCUCGGGAUACUCCAACAAGGGAAGAGAUCAAGUGCAUAAAUCCAAACUACACGAAGUUCGAGUUCUCCCGAAUUAAGACUCGUCCGUGGCACAAGCUUGAGCGCGCAUCUGGCCUGGAACUUGAACUUCGUGUAAUGCGCCUGGUAGCUGACCUCUCCCGACAGUGCCACCUCGAACAACCCCGUCGCGUUCUCCUAUCAGAAAAUGAACACGGAUGGAACUGAAGAGAUGGAACUGAAGAGUAAUCAAAGGGAACGAUAACUGAAGAUUGAGGGAUGAAAGACAAACAUAACUGGCAAGUUUUUUCCUUUUUCGGUUUGUCAUCUUCAUAAACGAUGUGUUUGAAUUGUCUGGCAAGUUCCCAUGAUAUUCCAGACUGUUUUUUGUCAUCUCUUCCCCUCCCCCGUGUUUGUGCCUCAAGUGAGAUCGGUUCUAAUGCUCCAAGUAGUUCAACUGGCAAUGCUCUAAGAAAGAAUGCUGUCAUGAUGUAAGGAGACAGAUAAUCCAACUGAGGAUCAUGGAGUUCUGAUGCUUAAACCUACUGAAGAUUACCAUAUUCUGUGCAAUUUGAUAUGCCGAGCAUUUGCCUAUAUACAUAUUUGUGUUGGCAUUUGCUUAUACGCAGCCUCCUUUUCCUGGGAAAGUGGAGUUGAUCAACCGGUUGUGAUUAUCAAGUGCCUUGCAGGUCUUGGGAUACUCCUACAAGGCAAGAGAUCAAGUGCAUGAGUCCAAACUACACAGAGUUCAAGUUCCCGUGAAUUAAGGCUCAUCCAUGGCGCAAGGUAAUAUGCAUAUAUUAUGAGUUUUUUUUAGUAUGUCCAGAAAUGCUGCACGGGCAUGUUGUUUAAUCUAGCAUGAACUAAUAUGAGUGCUGAAAAAAAAAUUAGAGUUUCUCAGAAAUUCUCGCCAAGAAAUUCCUCAGAUAUUUAACAAAAAAAGAAAAUUAAUUGCAGCGAACAAAAAUGAAAAGCUGAUGCAACAUAAAAGAAAAGAAAAGGCCCACAUGAGACAGAUGUUUCUCAGAUGGGCCGGGUUCUGUGUGUCCAGCAAGCACAGCCAAACCUCACGGGCCAGCACCCACGAGUCCUUCUAAGCUGCUCACACAAAGGGGGCGCUGCUGCGUAGCUGCACGCCUAGCAUUAGUCCCACCUCGCCAGUUUACAGGGAGCAGAACCAGCUUAUAACCCGAGGCGCGGCAGGAGGUAGCACGACCUUACUUGAACAGGAUCUGUUCUAUAGGCUCGUACCGCUGCAUCCUUUACCAAUAAGGAGGCAAGCACUUCAGUCUGGUUGAUGUAUUCUGACCUCUGGGCCAGAGCGUGAUUAACGGCCAGGAUUUCUCUGAUGGGGCAAUCUAACGGCUGUAGAGGAUCGUUCCUGCCUGGCUCUCAUGCCUGACAGGGUGGCCCAGAGGUUGUCUGACAGACUACAAAACUUUUUUUCCUUCCGUUUUUUAGCCAGUCUCUUUUUCCAGAAGUACUCUAACAGUUGUGUCUGUCAUCUGUAUCUGAAAGAGCGAGCUUGCACUUGACCUUCUGGAACAUGAUGUCCGGCGGCGCGAGCUGCAGCUUGAGCAUGCAUCUGGCCUGGAACUUGCACUUGCAGGUUUACUCCGCCAAGGCGCAGUUCUGCGACAAUGGCCAGUCCUUGUGAUAGGGUGUGACACCGUUGGCCUCGAGGACCCAUGCCUUGAGAUACGCAUUGAUAAGAAGCCUGUCAUGCAGGCCGAAAUGGUCUGCCCAAACAGGUAUAGGCUGUGAAGCGAAAUUUGCUGAUAUGAUGGUUAAUGAAAUAGCCGGUCAGUUACAUCGCUGAACAUGUGGUUCGAACUGGUUCUUCUGUUUUUCUUUUUCAGGCCAAAUGUCGAGAAACGGGUUCCCAUACAAAGGUUCUUCCAAGGCAAGCGAUACAAAAACAGGGAAGUGCAAAUUAGGCAUUGUUCCAGAGACAGUAAACCGGAUGGCUAGACAGUACAACAGAGUGAAUCACUCAAAGAGCGCCCCUCAUUUAUGUCAAACUAUACACUUAUCACUUGUUUAGUUAAUCAUAAGGUCCCAUUUUCUUAGUAUAUAUCACAUAGGCGAAUCAUUUUUUUCCGAGAUAAGUAUUUGCACAUUUUUGUGGUAGUACGGAUUACAAUAGACCAUCUAAUGCCAGCUUCAGCUAAUGCUUAAUUCUGCUGAUUUUGUUCUUGCCACAGAUAAAAUUUGAGUUAAUGAUUUUUGCCAUGCAUCUGUAAUCUGUUUGCUCUUUGCAGUUGUUUAUUUCAGAAAUGUAAUGUCCUAGCCAUGCAGCAGAGUUGUUCCUUCAGUUAUUUAUCUUUUGAUACUGAGUAUUAGCACAAGAUGUGAUUGUUAUAGGUCGUCGUCUAAUCAUUGUUCCUGUAAUCUCGUAACUUUGCAGAUAUGCCAAGCAUUUGCUUCGAUACAUAAUUGUGCUGGCGUUUGCUUAUAUAUUUUUCCUGGGGAAAGUGGAGUUGAUCAGCCGGUUAGGAUUAUCAAGGUCUUGGGGUACUCCAACAAGGGAAAGGAUCAAGUGCAUGAAUCCAAACUACACGGAGUUCAAGUUCCCGCAAAUUAAGGCUCGUGGCACAAGCCUCUUUUUCCUGGGGGAAAGUGGAGUUGAUCAACCGUUUGUGAUUACCAAGGUCUUGGGGAUACUCCAACAAGGGAAGAGAUCAAGUGCAUAGAAUCCAAACUACACGUUGUUCAAGUCCCCACAAAUUAAGGCUCAUCCAUGGCACAAGGUAUAUAGCACAUAAUAUAACAGUGGCAAGAAAAUCUGAAGAACUAAUGGCUGGAUGACAAGAAUGACAAGUGAGCCCAGAGGGUUGUCUGACAGACUACUAAAACUUUUUAGCCAGUCUCUUUUUUUCGGUCUCCUAUACAUUGUCUGAUUUUUCAUUUUUGGGCAGUUUUAACCACAUAAUCUAUUUGCAAUCACACAUCUCAAAUUAUCUGUGACAGGUAUAUAGCACAUAAUAUAACAGUGGCAAGAAAAUCUGAAGAACUAAUGGCUGGAUGACAAGAAUGACAAGUGAAAUGAGACACCGAUAACUACUCAAAAUAUCAGUGUCAUUCAACCUAUGGGCCACCCUGCACAGGCGUGAUCCAGGCAGUAAUUUGGGAUCAAUGAAGAGCGAGAAGGCUGAGGAAAAAAAAGGCCAGAAAAUGAAGAAUAAUAAGAAUACUGAGAAGACGAAGGAAGAAAGUGAAAUCUGAACAAAAGACUGGGGACUAAACAGUUACCAACUUCAUGCACAUAUGCUAACUCCAUUUUAUGAACAAAAGACUGGGGACUAAACUUUUUAGCCAGUCUCUUUUUUUCGGUCUCCUAUACAUUGUCUGAUUUUUCAUUUUUGGGCAGUUUUAACCACAUAAUCUAUUUGCAAUCACACAUCUCAAAUUAUCUGCGACAGGUAUAUAGCACAUAAUAUAACAGUGGCAAGAAAAUCUGAAGAACUAAUGGCUGGAUGACAAGAAUGACAAGUAUAUAGCACAUAAUAUAACAGUGGCAAGAAAAUCUGAAGAACUAAUGGCUGGAUGACAAGAAUGACAAGUGAAAUGAGACACCGAUAACUACUCAAAAUAUCAGUGUCAUUCAACCUAUGGGCCACCCUGCACAGGCGUGAUCCAGGCAGUAAUUUGGGAUCAAUGAAGAGCGAGAAGGCUGAGGAAAAAAAAGGCCAGAAAAUGAAGAAUAAUAAGAAUACUGAGAAGACGAAGGAAGAAAGUGAAAUCUGAACAAAAGACUGGGGACUAAACAGUUACCAACUUCAUGCACAUAUGCUAACUCCAUUUUAUGAACAAAAGACUGGGGACUAAACUUUUUAGCCAGUCUCUUUUUUUCGGUCUCCUAUACAUUGUCUGAUUUUUCAUUUUUGGGCAGUUUUAACCACAUAAUCUAUUUGCAAUCACACAUCUCAAAUUAUCUGUGACAGGUAUAUAGCACAUAAUAUAACAGUGGCAAGAAAAUCUGAAGAACUAAUGGCUGGAUGACAAGAAUGACAAGUGAAAUGAGACACCGAUAACUACUCAAAAUAUCAGUGUCAUUUAACCUAUGGGCCACCCUGCACAGGCGUGAUCCAGGCAGUAAUUUGGGAUCAAUGAAGAGCGAGAAGGCUGAGGAAAAAAAAGACCAGAAAAUGAAGAAUAAUAAGAAUACUGAGAAGACGAAGGAAGAAAGUGAAAUCUGAACAAAAGACUGGGGACUAAACAGUUACCAACUUCAUGCACAUAUGCUAACUCCAUUUUAUCAAGAAUUCUUGUAGAGCACGGUAAGUUUUUUGAACUAAAAGGUUUAAAAACUGAUCCUAAAACUGAGAAAAAUAAAUAAAGCACGGCAAGAAUUCUUGUAGAGCACGGCAAAAAUGAAGGUCUGGAGAUUAGUAGAGAGCUAAAUCUCAUGACUGAACACUAAGAAGACUAAGGACUGAUAAUUAAAACUCAGAAGCACC
Long non-coding RNA from Triticum aestivum (bread wheat), 6276 nucleotides. RefSeq lists it as uncharacterized. The transcript has 18 exons. The record is from RefSeq and is a predicted model, not a curated record. NCBI's taxonomy places the organism in Eukaryota, Viridiplantae, Streptophyta, Magnoliopsida, Poales, Poaceae.